This 775-nucleotide ribosomal RNA is filed under the name uncultured bacterium. RNAcentral's name for it is "bacterial SSU rRNA". It matches the Rfam family "Bacterial small subunit ribosomal RNA", at positions 8 to 798 of the family's 1533-position model. The record is from RNAcentral.
AGAGUUUGAUCAUGGCUCAGGACGAACGCUGGCGGCGUGCUUAACACAUGCAAGUCGAACGGAAAGGCCCCUUCGGGGGUACUCGAGUGGCGAACGGGUGAGUAACACGUGGGUGAUCUGCCCUGCACUCUGGGAUAAGCCUGGGAAACUGGGUCUAAUACCGGAUAGGACCGCAUGCUUCAUGGUGUGUGGUGCAAAGCUUUUGCGGUGUGGGAUGAGCCCGCGGCCUAUCAGCUUGUUGGUGGGGUAAUGGCCUACCAAGGCGACGACGGGUAGCCGGCCUGAGAGGGUGACCGGCCACACUGGGACUGAGAUACGGCCCAGACUCCUACGGGAGGCAGCAGUGGGGAAUAUUGCACAAUGGGCGCAAGCCUGAUGCAGCGACGCCGCGUGAGGGAUGACGGCCUUCGGGUUGUAAACCUCUUUCAGUAGGGACGAAGCGAAAGUGACGGUACCUACAGAAGAAGGACCGGCCAACUACGUGCCAGCAGCCGCGGUAAUACGUAGGGUCCGAGCGUUGUCCGGAAUUACUGGGCGUAAAGAGCUCGUAGGUGGUUUGUCGCGUUGUUCGUGAAAACUCACAGCUUAACUGUGGGCGUGCGGGCGAUACGGGCAGACUAGAGUACUGCAGGGGAGACUGGAAUUCCUGGUGUAGCGGUGGAAUGCGCAGAUAUCAGGAGGAACACCGGUGGCGAAGGCGGGUCUCUGGGCAGUAACUGACGCUGAGGAGCGAAAGCGUGGGUAGCGAACAGGAUUAGAUACCCCGGUAGUCCAA